CCUACGGGGGGCUGCAGUGGGGAAUAUUGCACAAUGGGGGGAACCCUGAUGCAGCAAUGCCGCGUGGGUGAAGAAGCACUCCGGUGCGUAAAGCCCUGUCAGCAGGGAAGAAAAUGACAGUACCUGACCAAGAAGCCCCGGCUAACUACGUGCCAGCAGCCGCGGUAAUACGUAGGGGGCAAGCGUUAUCCGGAUUUACUGGGUGUAAAGGGAGCGCAGGCGGUAUGGCAAGUCAGAUGUGAAAACCCAGGGCCCAACCCUGGGACUGCAUUUGAAAAUGCCAUACUGGAGUGCCGGAGAGGUAAGUGGAAUUCCUAGUGUAGCGGUGAAAUGCUUAGAGAUCAUACAGAACACCGAGUGCGAAGGCAGCUUACCAAGCUACUUCUGACGUUGAGGCACGAAAGCGUGGGGAGCAAACAGGAUUAGAUACCCCGGUAGUC
Molecule: ribosomal RNA, 440 nt
Filed under: uncultured bacterium
Lineage: Bacteria
Description: partial 16S ribosomal RNA
Rfam family: Bacterial small subunit ribosomal RNA
Source: RNAcentral